GGGCUCUUGGCACAGGGGCAGCACACAUGCUUUGCAUUAGGCCUCAAAGUUGAGAAAAAUUUGAUGCAUGCAUGAGGUUGUGGGUUCAAAUCCCACAGUGUCCA
RNAcentral lists this transfer RNA (104 nucleotides) under Laccaria bicolor S238N-H82. It matches the Rfam family "tRNA". Rfam says of the family: Transfer RNA (tRNA) molecules are approximately 80 nucleotides in length. Their secondary structure includes four short double-helical elements and three loops (D, anti-codon, and T loops). Lineage: Eukaryota; Fungi; Basidiomycota; Agaricomycetes; Agaricales; Hydnangiaceae. The record is from Rfam by way of RNAcentral.